UCAUCGUGGGCAGGCCCUUGAGGCGCAUCCCCUCCCACGGCGUGUAGUCGAUGGCGUGGUGCAGGUCCGUGUUGGUCAG
RNAcentral lists this transfer RNA (79 nucleotides) under Methylobacterium indicum. RNAcentral's name for it is "tRNA-Gly". The record is from RNAcentral. Lineage: Bacteria; Pseudomonadati; Pseudomonadota; Alphaproteobacteria; Hyphomicrobiales; Methylobacteriaceae.